This 440-nucleotide ribosomal RNA is filed under the name uncultured bacterium. RNAcentral's name for it is "partial 16S ribosomal RNA". It matches the Rfam family "Bacterial small subunit ribosomal RNA", at positions 338 to 795 of the family's 1533-position model. The record is from RNAcentral.
CCUACGGGAGGCAGCAGUGGGGGAUAUUGCACAAUGGGGGAAACCCUGAUGCAGCGACGCCGCGUGAGUGAAGAAGUAUUUCGGUAUGUAAAGCCCUAUCAGCAGGGAAGAAAAUGACAGUACCUGACCAAGAAGCCCCGGCUAACUACGUGCCACCAGCCGCUGUAACACGGAGGGGGCAAGGGUUAUCCGGAUUUACUGGGUGUAAAGGGAGCGUAGACGGUUAUGUAAGUCUGGAGUGAAAGCCCGGGGCCCAACCCCGGGACUGCUUUGGAAACUGUGUAACUGGAGUACAGGAGGGGCAGGCGGAAUUCCUGGUGUAGCGGUGAAAUGCGUAGAUAUCGGGAGGAACACCGGCGGCGAAGGCGGCCUGCUGGACUGAAACUGACGUUGAGGCUCGAAAGCGUGGGGAGCGAACAGGAUUAGAUACCCCAGUAGUC